UGGGGAAUAUUGCACAAUGGGGGAAACCCUGAUGCAGCGACGCCGCGUGAACGAAGAAGGUAUUCGUAUCGUAAAGUUCUGUCCUAUGGGAAGAUAAUGACAGUACCAUAGAAGAAAGCUCCGGCGAAAUACGUGCCAGCAGCCGCGGUAAUACGUAUGGAGCGAGCGUUGUCCGGAAUUAUUGGGCGUAAAGGGUACGCAGGCGGUUUAAUAAGUCGAAUGUUAAAGAUCGGGGCUCAACCCCGUAAAGCAUUGGAAACUGAUAAACUUGAGUAGUGGAGAGGAAAGUGGAAUUCCUAGUGUAGUGGUGAAAUACGUAGAUAUUAGGAGGAAUACCAGUAGCGAAGGCGACUUUCUGGACACAAACUGACGCUGAGGUACGAAAGCGGGGGGAGCAAACAGG
RNAcentral lists this ribosomal RNA (403 nucleotides) under Actinomycetes bacterium. RNAcentral describes it as "Actinobacteria bacterium partial 16S ribosomal RNA". It matches the Rfam family "Bacterial small subunit ribosomal RNA", at positions 355 to 776 of the family's 1533-position model. The record is from RNAcentral. Lineage: Bacteria; Bacillati; Actinomycetota; Actinomycetes.